Cervus elaphus (red deer) is the source of this 442-nucleotide long non-coding RNA. RefSeq lists it as uncharacterized. The record is from RefSeq and is a predicted model, not a curated record. Lineage: Eukaryota; Metazoa; Chordata; Mammalia; Artiodactyla; Cervidae. The transcript is spliced from 3 exons.
GAUUCAGGUUUGGCAGCAGAGCACUGAGACUUGGGUGGAAGCUUUGUUGUAGAGCUGUCCCAGGGGGUGAAGACUCGAACAGUGGUAGAAGAUUAGUGGAUGCACACUUUGUGAAUGGUCCAUCGUUACACUAUCACUGCCUUAGUGAGACAAGAAAUAACCAUUUGAAGGAAGCCAAAGAGAGGCUUCUUUCUCCCAAGACAAGCAACAUAAACUAUAAGGAUGAGGCAAACGCGCCCACUUUAUAGUUUUAUGCUCAGGCUAAGAGAAAAUGAAGACAUCAUAGGUCCUAACUGAUCAGGUACUCCACUGAAGAGCUAAUGAAAACUGGUUAAAAUGAAUGAAAGCAUGGCAUUUGGAUUAAGAAACAAGCUGUCAAGGCAGAGAGCGCACCGGAGACAAAGAGAAGAUCAUUUGGACAGGUAAAGACCCUGAAAUCACC